This 301-nucleotide ribosomal RNA is filed under the name uncultured bacterium. RNAcentral's name for it is "partial 16S ribosomal RNA". It matches the Rfam family "Bacterial small subunit ribosomal RNA", at positions 509 to 809 of the family's 1533-position model. The record is from RNAcentral.
CAGCCGCCGCGGUAAAACGAAGGGGGCUAGCGUUACUCGGAAUUACUGGGCGUAAAGGGCGCGUAGGCGGCACGAUUAGUCAGGCGUGAAAUUCCUGGGCUCAACCUGGGGACUGCGCUUGAUACGGUCGAGCUAGAGGAUGGAAGAGGGUUGUGGAAUUCCCAGUGUAGAGGUGAAAUUCGUAGAUAUUGGGAAGAACACCGGUGGCGAAGGCGGCAACCUGGUCCAUUACUGACGCUGAGGCGCGACAGCGUGGGGAGCAAACAGGAUUAGAUACCCGCGUAGUCCCUGUCUCUUAUAA